Molecule: ribosomal RNA, 253 nt
Filed under: uncultured bacterium
Lineage: Bacteria
Description: partial 16S ribosomal RNA
Rfam family: Bacterial small subunit ribosomal RNA
Source: RNAcentral
UACAGAGGUCCCGAGCGUUGUUCGGAUUCAUUGGGCGUAAAGGGUGCGUAGGCGGCUUUGUAAGUCAGUGGUGAAAUAUGGCAGCUCAACUGUCAAGGUGCCAUUGAUACUGCAGAGCUUGAGUACAGAUGAGGUAGGCGGAAUUGACGGUGUAGCGGUGAAAUGCUUAGAUAUCGUCAAGAACACCUAUAGCGAAGGCAGCUUACUAGGCUGUAACUGACGCUGAGGCACGAAAGUGUGGGGAUCAAACAGG